RNAcentral lists this ribosomal RNA (353 nucleotides) under uncultured bacterium. RNAcentral describes it as "bacterial SSU rRNA". It matches the Rfam family "Bacterial small subunit ribosomal RNA", at positions 28 to 407 of the family's 1533-position model. The record is from RNAcentral.
GAUGAACGCUGGCGGUAUGCCUAACACAUGCAAGUCGUACGAGAGUUUUUAACUCUAGUGGCGGACGGGUGAGUAACACGUGAGAAUUUGCCUUUAGGAGGGGGACAACAAUUGGAAACGAAUGCUAAUACCCCAUAUGCUUUCGAGUGAAAUGGAUUUUANCCGCCUAGAGAGAAGCUCGCGGCUGAUUAGCUUGUUGGUAAGGUAAGAGCUUACCAAGGCGACGAUCAGUAUCUGGUUUGAGAGGACGAUCAGACACACUGGAACUGAGACACGGUCCAGACUCCUACGGAGGCAGCAGUGGGGAAUUUCCGCAAUGGGCGAAAGCCUGACGGAGCAAUACCGCGUGAGGG